AUUGAACGCUGGCGGCAUGCCUUACACAUGCAAGUCGAACGGUAACAGGUCUUCGGAUGCUGACGAGUGGCGAACGGGUGAGUAAUACAUCGGAACGUGCCCGAUCGUGGGGGAUAACGAAGCGAAAGCUUUGCUAAUACCGCCUAAGAUCCAAGGAUGAAAGCAGGGGAACGCAAGGCCUUGCGCGAACGGAGCGGCCGAUGGCAGAUUAGGUAGUUGGUGGGAUAAAAGCUUACCAAGCCGACGAUCUGUAGCUGGUCUGAGAGGACGACCAGCCACACUGGGACUGAGACACGGCCCAGACUCCUACGGGAGGCAGCAGUGGGGAAUUUUGGACAAUGGGCGAAAGCCUGAUCCAGCCAUGCCGCGUGCAGGAUGAAGGCCUUCGGGUUGUAAACUGCUUUUGUACGGAACGAAAAGACUCUGGUUAAUACCUGGGGUUCAUGACGGUACCGUAAGAAUAAGCACCGGCUAACUACGUGCCAGCAGCCGCCGUAA
Molecule: ribosomal RNA, 498 nt
Filed under: uncultured bacterium
Lineage: Bacteria
Description: partial 16S ribosomal RNA
Rfam family: Bacterial small subunit ribosomal RNA
Source: RNAcentral